RNAcentral lists this ribosomal RNA (250 nucleotides) under uncultured bacterium. RNAcentral describes it as "partial 16S ribosomal RNA". It matches the Rfam family "Bacterial small subunit ribosomal RNA", at positions 524 to 773 of the family's 1533-position model. The record is from RNAcentral.
UACGUAGGGUGCAAGCGUUAUCCGGAUUUAUUGGGCGUAAAGCGCUCGUAGGUGGUUUCUUAAGUCUGAUAUGAAAGAUCUGGGCUCAACCCAGGGAACGUAUCGGAAACUGGGUGACUAGAGGUAUGCAGGGGCAGAUGGAACACAGGGUGUAGCAGUGAAAUGCGUAGAUAUCUUGCGGAACGCCAAUGGUGAAGACAGUCUGCUGGGCAUUACCUGACACUGAGGAGCGAAAGCGUGGGGAGCGAAC